GGGGUUCACUGAUGAAGGAACAACUGAGUAGAGAACUGACACAAUAAGAUCCAUGGAUGGGGAAGAGAUGGAGGGAGGCUUAAGGUAGGCAAACAUGCCAGUGCUGAUAAAGAGGGAGACCACGGCCAGGUGAGGGAGGCACAUGGAAAAGGCUUUGUGCCGGCCCUGCUCAGAGGGAAUCCUCAGCACUACCCUGAGAAUCUGCACAUAGGAUAACAUGAUGAAAACAAAGCAAAGAAAGGCUAUAGAAACGCUAAAAACUAGUGCCCAAACUUCCCUGAGGUAGGCAUCUGAGCAAGAGAGCUUGAGGAUCUGGGGGAUUUCACAGAAGAACUGGUCCACAACAUUGCCGUGGCAGAGGGGCAGGGAAAAUGUGUUGGCCGUGUGCAGGACAGCAUUGAGAAAGCCACUGCCCCAGGCAGCUGCUGCCAUCUGGGCACAAGCUCUGCUGCCCAGGAGGCUCCCGUAGUGCAGGGGCUUGCAGAUGGCAACGUAGCGGUCGUAGGCCAUGACAGUGAGAAGAGAAUACUCUGCUACAACCAAGAAAGCAAAGAGAAAGAGUUGGGCAGCACACCCUUGAUAGGAGAUGACCCUGGUGUCCCAGAAGGCAUUGGCCAUGGCUUUGGGCAGAGUGGUGGAGAUGCAGCCCAGGUCGAGGAGGGCGAGGUUGAGGAGGAAGAAGUACAUGGGGGUGUGGAGAUGCAGCCCAGGUCGAGGAGGGCGAGGUUGAGGAGGAAGAAGUACAUGGGGGUGUGGAGGCGGUGGUUGCAGGCUACGGCGCUGAGGAUGAGGCCGUUGCCCAGAAGGGCAGCCAGGUAGAUGCCCAGGAAGAGUGUGAAGUGCAGGAGCUGCACAGAGUGGUGGAGAUGCAGCCCAGGUCGAGGAGGGCGAGGUUGAGGAGGAAGAAGUACAUGGGGGUGUGGAGGCGGUGGUUGCAGGCUACGGCGCUGAGGAUGAGGCCGUUGCCCAGAAGGGCAGCCAGGUAGAUGCCCAGGAAGAGUGUGAAGUGCAGGAGCUGCAGCUCGCGCGUCUGCGAAUGCCAGCAGGAGGAACUCGCUCACAGAGCUGAUGUUGGGCAUUUGCUGACUCUGGACACAGUUGUCUGCUGAAGAUGAGAAGAGAGAACAAAGUUAGAAGAGCUUUCUCUGAGGAAAACAUAGUGCAAGUUUUGGAGCACCACCCAGCCCAACCCCUGUCUAUGCAGCUGAACCUUUCUGCAUCUCUCUUGCUUGAGCUGCAUCUGGUGCUGGCUGAGAGUGGCACUUGGAGCAGGGGCUGCUGUGGGCUGCAGAGGAGUCUUUUCUGCUGUGCAGCAGGAGGGAGGCAGACACAUGGGGGAAACUCUAGUUCAGUCCACUUGUCAGGUCAGUGAGGUUUGCAGUACUGUUUCAAAUACUUCAUCUGAAUGCAGAGCAGAGCUGCAGAUGCCAGUGCUGAACACCAGUGUUCUCAGCUGCCCUGUCACCUCUCUGAGAGCUGCA
Molecule: long non-coding RNA, 1481 nt
Filed under: Anas zonorhyncha (Eastern spot-billed duck)
Lineage: Eukaryota; Metazoa; Chordata; Aves; Anseriformes; Anatidae
Description: lncRNA (ENSAZOG00000012298.1)
Source: RNAcentral